RNAcentral lists this unclassified non-coding RNA (463 nucleotides) under Hevea brasiliensis (rubber tree). The record is from RNAcentral. Lineage: Eukaryota; Viridiplantae; Streptophyta; Magnoliopsida; Malpighiales; Euphorbiaceae.
AGGCAACCUAUUCAAUCUUCCAACCAAUUUCAGUUUCUGAAGAAAAAAUGGAGGCAGAGUUAAUGCUUCUAACUGAAGUUGUUCUUCUAUCUCUGUUGCCAUCACACCUAAUCGGAUUAAGCCUGUCAUCGUUUGAAUUGAGGAGCAUAACUUUGGUCCAUCAUCCGCUCUCAACUUUGUGAUUUCCAACCUUUUGAGAUUAGUGAAGUUCCCAAGUUGUUGGAGCAGCUCUUUCUCUGCUUCAAUGCAUGCUAAUGUUUGUAAGCUCCGAAUACUCCAUAUUCCAUCUGGAGCCUGCAUCCCAUUGAGAACAUUUAUUGCCUCAGAAUUCUGAUCUUGUUUGCUGCACAUAAAUAGAUGUCGUAAAUUUGAUAACUUUGAUAUUCCCCUUGGCAUUCUUUUCAUAUUGGUUUUCCAGACAUCCAGUGUCUGCAGAUUGUUUAGCCUUUCCAUUGACUUGGGA